AACAGAAAUUCCAAGGCUACAUAAGAAACAAGACUGGAAGGGGCUGUCAGAGGAAUUUAAGGGUGGCCAAAAUAACUGUCCCCUGAGGAACUCAGACAGGGAAGGACUGGAUUGAGCUGUCCAGAAUGAAACCUAGCUUUUGGGUGUGGGGGUUGAAAGACUGAAAGAGAAAGCCCAUAGUUACUAAUGUAAGAUGGGUGAGAAAAAUAGUAAAUCUUUUGUUCAUUUUGGAGAAUUCAAGUCCUGGGAAGGUAUGCUGAACCUGUAGGUGGGGUGGGGACACUAGCCAAGGAGUCAGCCUAUGGCUAAGGUUAACUUUAAGGCUAAGAGAGAAAGAGAAAUCCCAGAACUACAGUUUGAGUUGAGCUGGAAAGAGGCUACUGAAGGGAACUAAGAGCUGCAAAACUAAAUGUCCUCUGAGAGCAAUGUUCCACAAAAUUUUACUAUCAGGAUCUAGUAUAUGAUUUCCAAUAAGAUUAUAAAAAAACCAUAGCAACAGGACUCAAUAUGUAAUGCCUUGUUUUUCCCUGUCUGUCUUUCUUAGAGCAAAUGGCACACAGGGUAGAUUAAUCACCUUGAACUAUGGAAAUAGCCUCUCCUGGAAAUUAUUAAGAAACUAGAAUGGUUUCAUCCUCAUGUGUACUGAAAAAAAAAAUCCACUACAGAUUACUAAAUAUACAGAAAAAUCAGCCAACUAAAAAGAAAAAAAAAAUAAAUGGCAAGCUGGAAUAGUUGGAAGCUGGGAGAGCACUUGGAAGAAGUAUCAGUCUUUCCUUACAGUUAUGUCCAGAUGAGGGAAUGGAAAUGGGUCACCUGGUUACCAGAACAGCCCCCACUCCACUCUUUCUUCCUGUGCUGUGGAUGGCCCAGGGCAGGAGGAAGUGGAGGUCAGCAGAAAAGUCCUCAGGACUUGAUAGGGCCGCAGAUUGAGGAUAAGAAUGGGAAGAGGGAUUAAAAUGUCCUUAAACUACAGACACAGGACCUGGAGUGGAAUUCACCUUCAGCACUCCUCUCAUACCAGAACUGCCCCAUGCUUCACCUCUACUCAGAGAGGAGGAAAGGAAGGUGCGACACCCACCUGCCUCUUCAUCUCCCCCGUUGGAUGAGGGUACUUCAAACUCAAGCAGCUUCCCGCUCUACAGUGCAGCCAAACGGUUCCCUGAGGGCCAUUCCUCUGGCCAGGAGCUUCCCAAACAGCCUGGCCUUGGGCUGCUCCACCCUGCAGCCGGCUCAGUCCUACCCAGCCGGACCCUCAUGCAGCAUCUCCAGAACAACAACCAGGUGAAUGGAGAAGCCUUUGACUCCUGUCUCAAGUUCUCUGCUAUCUCAUGCCAUAGGAGCUAAGGGAAAGAAGGGGAGAGAUGGCACGUGAAGCACCUUCAGAGUUUUACAUAAGUGGAAGUAAUGCCAAUGAACGCCUGCAAUUUGGUUCUGGUCAGAUGUUUUGAACCCAUUAUGGCUGAACGGGUCCUGGAAGUCCCCAAACACAUUCCCAUUAUCGCUAAUUAAAUUAGUUUAUUGAGAACAUCAAUGAAAAACAUUAUACAAUUAAAACAUUUGCACU
RNAcentral lists this long non-coding RNA (1564 nucleotides) under Gallus gallus (chicken). Its description in RNAcentral is "lncRNA (ENSGALG00010019863.1)". Lineage: Eukaryota; Metazoa; Chordata; Aves; Galliformes; Phasianidae. The record is from RNAcentral.